Molecule: long non-coding RNA, 275 nt
Organism: Melitaea cinxia (Glanville fritillary)
Lineage: Eukaryota; Metazoa; Arthropoda; Insecta; Lepidoptera; Nymphalidae
Exons: 2
Source: RefSeq, a predicted model, not a curated record
CCUCCAGUAGCUGCCCGCCGCCGCGCUAGCUGCACGUCCCGACCACCUAUCCAAGCGCUCUCCCAGUGCCGUCGCAGCCUCACCGCCUCGCGCCACGCCGUCCGUGCCACCGCGCUGCCGGCAUAACAAACUCACACGGUGUCCUUUCUGUACAUAUUGUUUGUCACUUAACACCAAGACCACAUCGAGCUGCGCUCGCAUACACGUUCUUGCGGCACCCUAACGAGGACAAAGAGUAAUUUCAAACUAAAAAUUAUAUUAACUGAGCUGAAGCG